UAUAGGUGGCGGGUCCACUAAUGAAUCAUUGUCUUUUGAUAUUUUUGUGUGUGUGUGUGUGUGCUGAACAGUUAUAGUGUCGGUGGUUUUGCCUAUAAAUUAGGCUUGUGAAUUUUGUAAGCAAACAGAAAAGAAUUAGAGACACACAGAGAAUAGAAAUUAAGGAAAAAUACAGUGAGCUGAGACAGUGAAGGCUAGACUUGCGAUUUUGAUGAUCAAGUGUUGAUUAUUUAUUUUACAGUUUUCAGGUACCGAGGAUGAACUUGGAUUGCUAGUAGCGGGCUUAGGUGGAAGGGUUUAUUUUAGAGAUGUUGUAUCAUUUAUUUGAGGAAAUUGAUGAUGUAUCAAUAAAGUGAUAUUUUAUUUAUUUUGAGAUCCUAGGAGUGUAAUACUGAUGUAUUUGGAUUUGAACAAAUCGAAGAAUUUAUUUAGAAAA
Long non-coding RNA from Cornus florida, 436 nucleotides. RefSeq lists it as uncharacterized. The transcript is spliced from 2 exons. The record is from RefSeq and is a predicted model, not a curated record. Lineage: Eukaryota; Viridiplantae; Streptophyta; Magnoliopsida; Cornales; Cornaceae.